This 260-nucleotide ribosomal RNA is filed under the name uncultured bacterium. Its description in RNAcentral is "partial 16S ribosomal RNA". It matches the Rfam family "Bacterial small subunit ribosomal RNA", at positions 793 to 1055 of the family's 1533-position model. The record is from RNAcentral.
GUCCACGCAGUAAACGAUGAAUACUAGCUGUAUGCGAUAUACUGUAUGUGGCAAAGCGAAAGCGUUAAGUAUUCCACCUGGGGAGUACGUUCGCAAGAAUGAAACUCAAAGGAAUUGACGGGGGCCCCGCACAAGCGGAGGAACAUGUGGUUUAAUUCGAUGAUACGCGAGGAACCUUACCCGGGCUUGAAAUGCAGACGACCGACCAGGAAACUGGUCUUCCAGCAAUGGCGUCUGUGUAGGUGCUGCAUGGUUGUCGU